AAGGUCUCCGUUGGUGAACCAGCGGAGGGAUCAUUACCGAGUUUACAACUCCCAAACCCAAUGUGAACGUUACCAAACUGUUGCCUCGGCGGGAUCUCUGCCCCGGGUGCGUCGCAGCCCCGGACCAAGGCGCCCGCCGGAGGACCAACCAAAACUCUUAUUGUAUACCCCCUCGCGGGUUUUUUACUAUCUGAGCCAUCUCGGCGCCCCUCGUGGGCGUUUCGAAAAUGAAUCAAAACUUUCAACAACGGAUCUCUUGGUUCUGGCAUCGAUGAAGAACGCAGCGAAAUGCGAUAAGUAAUGUGAAUUGCAGAAUUCAGUGAAUCAUCGAAUCUUUGAACGCACAUUGCGCCCGCCAGUAUUCUGGCGGGCAUGCCUGUCCGAGCGUCAUUUCAACCCUCGAACCCCUCCGGGGGGUCGGCGUUGGGGAUCGGCCCUUUACGGGGCCGGCCCCGAAAUACAGUGGCGGUCUCGCCGCAGCCUCUCCUGCGCAGUAGUUUGCACACUCGCAUCGGGAGCGCGGCGCGUCCACAGCCGUUAAACACCCCAAACUUCUGAAAUGUGACCUCG
This 570-nucleotide ribosomal RNA is filed under the name Trichoderma sp. T8. RNAcentral's name for it is "eukaryotic LSU rRNA". The stretch from base 237 to 390 matches the Rfam family "5.8S ribosomal RNA". Lineage: Eukaryota; Fungi; Ascomycota; Sordariomycetes; Hypocreales; Hypocreaceae. The record is from RNAcentral.